GUCUGUGGCACAGUGGGGCAGUGUGUUUGGCUGCUAACCAGAAGAUUGGUGGUUCAAGCCCACACAGGGACA
Podarcis lilfordi (Lilford's wall lizard) is the source of this 72-nucleotide non-coding RNA. NCBI's taxonomy places the organism in Eukaryota, Metazoa, Chordata, Lepidosauria, Squamata, Lacertidae. The record is from the annotation of a GenBank genome assembly.